Long non-coding RNA from Pangasianodon hypophthalmus (striped catfish), 386 nucleotides. RefSeq lists it as uncharacterized. The transcript is spliced from 3 exons. The record is from RefSeq and is a predicted model, not a curated record. Lineage: Eukaryota; Metazoa; Chordata; Actinopteri; Siluriformes; Pangasiidae.
UCUUUCUCGUGGUGCAGAGAACUUCCUCCGUGUGAAAUAUGGCUCUGUAGCUCGUAGCUUCUUCCCUGAUCGAGGUCACUGGUGAUGUGUUUCAUUUUGAUGGUCUGGUUUUGGUCGUUGUUCUGAGUCUCACUGAAGUCUGGUCCAGUACUGACCCAAGCUCGGGUCCUGAUCUCCAGCCUGAACCCCGACCGGCCCUGAGAGCGACACGCUGGGAAGAAGACUCCAGCCCAGGAAGAAGAAUCCAGUUCAGGAACAAUAAAGAUACAUGUGACUCUCAGAGUCUCAGCGAGCAAAUUUAUGGAAGGAGUCUCCAGUGUCAGCACUUUGUAACAGUCAGAGUAAAGUUGUAACUUUAAGUUUUCCCACAUCUUCGGGACAGACGC